AGCGAUAAAGGCACACCCGCCGAAAGACGGGGCCGCAAAGCCACGGGGCUACAGGAAGCGGGCGCCGCGCAGAGUCCGCCUCCCAUGCCAGCCGGGCUGCCGCUC
Molecule: non-coding RNA, 105 nt
Filed under: Symbiobacterium thermophilum
Lineage: Bacteria; Bacillati; Bacillota; Clostridia; Eubacteriales; Symbiobacteriaceae
Description: c-di-GMP sequence
Rfam family: c-di-GMP-I-GGC riboswitch aptamer
Source: RNAcentral